CCGCGCUGUUGUGGCGCGACUCUUCGAGACGACCGCUGUAUCCCGUGGGAUGGCGCAAAAUAAUAAUACGUCAACCGUUAACUGUUGCUCCCCUCCGUCCCCCCCGGUACAUCGACACACAUCGGCACGUAGCCGGGCGUAAGAUGGUUUUCGUUUGUUUAUCGCGAAUUCUGUGGACACAAACGCCGUGCGUGAUGUUUCACGGUCGAGGACACGAGAGGCUCGGCACAGCGCAUGGAGGUUUUUGACGAAACCGCACGAAUUUGAAUUCGCGAGAGACUCGCUUGAGGUCUUGCAGGUAGAAGUUUCGAUUGAUCUCUACCGGUUCGCGAUGUGAAAUUUCUCUCGCUAAUCCGGUAAAAAAAGGCGGAAAAUCUGCUGGAAUUCGGACUCUCACUGAGAUUUUGGCUGUAUCGAGGCAAAAUGAUUGAAUGGUUGCAUGAUGAAAUUAUUCAUGUACUUCAUUACCAUGAAGUAUCGUCAGAGACAAGUCGCCAUAUUUACGAAUUUCGAGGAACGCGGCAAACUUCAGUUCCAAUGAUUCGCGGCACUUUUUCCCGCGCGUUGUGAAACAUGAAAACUAUUAAGCAUUGGAUACAAGGAAAAAGAAAAGCCUGGAAAGAAUACAUCAUGAACCCGUUCAUCGCACUAAUGUGUGAAGUGGCUGUUAUUGAGGGAUGAUGUAUCAUGUGACUGCGAUCACCGGGAAGGUUCUUCGGACUUAGGGUGCGCACACAGGGACCGUGGCACUGGAUACUAGGAUACAGAGAUCAAGUGACUCCCGAGAACCGCCUUCGACUUGACGUGUUCCUUACCCGCAGGAGAGUCAAUCAUUUUUUUAAAAAGAAGAAUUUUUUACAGCGAUGCGCAAGCACAAAUGCCGAAGCGGUAUCACGGUCACGACCCACGUGACCGUUUUAAAGGAUCGCCAGCAGCCAUCAUCAAUCA
Molecule: long non-coding RNA, 948 nt
Filed under: Monomorium pharaonis (pharaoh ant)
Lineage: Eukaryota; Metazoa; Arthropoda; Insecta; Hymenoptera; Formicidae
Description: uncharacterized LOC105830270, transcript variant X3
Source: RNAcentral